Molecule: ribosomal RNA, 403 nt
Filed under: uncultured bacterium
Lineage: Bacteria
Description: partial 16S ribosomal RNA
Rfam family: Bacterial small subunit ribosomal RNA
Source: RNAcentral
AUUGAACGCUGGCGGCAGGCCUAACACAUGCAAGUCGAGCGAGCGGCGGACGGGUGAGUAAUGUAUGGGGACUGCCCGAUAGAGGGGGCUAACUACUGGAAACGGUGGCUAAUACCGCAUACUAUCGGAUAACCCAUAUGGGAUUAGCUAGUAGGUGGGGUAAAGGCUCAACUAGGCGACGAUCUCUAGCUGGUCUGAGAGGAUGAUCGGCCACACGGGGACUGAGACACGGCCCAGACUCCUACGGAGGCAGCAGUGGGGAAUAUUGCACAAUGGGCGAAAGCCUGAUGCAGCAAUGCCGCGUGUAUGAAGAAGGCCUUAGGGUUGUAAAGUAAUGUCAGCGGGGAGGCGUUACCCGCAGAAGAAGCACCGGCUAACUCCGUGCCAGCAGCCGCGGUAAUUC